GCAAGUUAAACCUAUCACUCCCACCUGAUCUUUCAGAAAUUAGACAGGAUUACGUUUGAUUAGUACUUGGAUGGGGGACCAUGGGAAAACUAAGACUUUAUGCU
This 104-nucleotide ribosomal RNA is filed under the name Notechis scutatus (mainland tiger snake). Lineage: Eukaryota; Metazoa; Chordata; Lepidosauria; Squamata; Elapidae. The record is from RNAcentral.